UCAUACUUCAGUAAUUAUCAGCGAAACCUAAAUAAAAACCCUCGAGAGCUCUUUUCCCAUCUGGUGCCCUGCUAUCUGAACCCUUUCGCUUUAACGCACCGCUCUCCUCCUCGGCUAGGGCUCCGGCGAUCCGGAGAUCUCCGUCUCGAUCUCCGCCGGCGUCUCCCUCGUCGGGUCCCCGUUCCUUCUACCGAUCGGAUAUCGGCUUGCUGUCUUAACC
RNAcentral lists this long non-coding RNA (220 nucleotides) under Phoenix dactylifera (date palm). RNAcentral describes it as "long non-coding RNA (PDAC_LNC013978)". The record is from RNAcentral. Lineage: Eukaryota; Viridiplantae; Streptophyta; Magnoliopsida; Arecales; Arecaceae.